UACGUAGGGUGCAAGCGUUAAUCGGAAUUACUGGGCGUAAAGCGUGCGCAGGCGGUUUUGCAAGUCUGACGUGAAAUCCCCGGGCUCAACCUGGGAAUUGCGUUGGAGACUGCAAGGCUAGAAUCUGGCAGAGGGGGGUAGAAUUCCACGUGUAGCAGUGAAAUGCGUAGAGAUGUGGAGGAACACCGAUGGCGAAGGCAGCCCCCUGGGUCAAGAUUGACGCUCAUGCACGAAAGCGUGGGGAGCAAACAGG
This 253-nucleotide ribosomal RNA is filed under the name uncultured bacterium. Its description in RNAcentral is "partial 16S ribosomal RNA". It matches the Rfam family "Bacterial small subunit ribosomal RNA", at positions 524 to 776 of the family's 1533-position model. The record is from RNAcentral.